Molecule: long non-coding RNA, 701 nt
Filed under: Brassica rapa (field mustard)
Lineage: Eukaryota; Viridiplantae; Streptophyta; Magnoliopsida; Brassicales; Brassicaceae
Description: long non-coding RNA (BRAP_LNC007857)
Source: RNAcentral
GUUAAUAUAGUAAGACCCAAUACGGUAAAGCUAACUUCAUCAUCUAGAGAACAUAAGUGUGUUUUUUACUCUCCAAGCUUUCUUAGCUUUUCAGUUCUGACUCAUAUUGCUGCAUCGGGAAGGAAGCCUCAGUUGGACUUUGGGACAAGGUGAAUUUUCCCUCAUCUUCUUGGUAUUGAAGAAUUAAUCAUGACAAAGUGAAGUUUCAUGCUUGGACUAAUCAUCACUUGUCAUGCAUAUGCCAGGCUUUCCUAGGGUUCUUCCUUUUGGUCUGGCCCAUAACUAUGUCGAAGUAUCAUCACAAUUCACUAACACAUGGGUUUUUCUAUUGUGCGACCGGAAGCCAUGUUUAAAAUAUGUUAUUUUAAUAAGUAUAUUUUGUAUAGCUUCAAGUUGGUGCAUUAUACUAUUGUUUUAUGGUAGCUCCAUAUUAUAGCAGACAGACGCAGUUGUCUACUCAGAUUCAAGUUGAGAUCUAUAAUGAGUUAAAAUAUUUUUCUCAAAUCGAAUAUUUUGAGAACCAAAACCAUGUGAAGUUUGUUAUGAAACAAACAAUAUUAGAAAGUUUGGUAGACUUUUGAUUACUAAAAUAGAAGCUCACGUUUUUUUGUUCAUUUUUUUAUCCAGCUUGAAAUUAAAGGUUAUGAGAUUGCGUUGUUUUGAGGGGACAGAUUUGCACAUUAGACCCAAACUCUCUCUGC